UUUUAUGAGAGUUUGAUCCUGGCUCAGGACGAACGCUGGCGGCGUGCCUAAUACAUGCAAGUCGUACGCUUCUUUUUCCACCGGAGCUUGCUCCACCGGAAAAAGAAGAGUGGCGAACGGGUGAGUAA
Molecule: ribosomal RNA, 128 nt
Filed under: Enterococcus faecium
Lineage: Bacteria; Bacillati; Bacillota; Bacilli; Lactobacillales; Enterococcaceae
Description: partial 16S ribosomal RNA
Rfam family: Bacterial small subunit ribosomal RNA
Source: RNAcentral